GCAGGGGUCGCAUAGCCUGGUCAAUUGCACCGGUUUCAGGGAUCGGUUGGUUAGUCCAUACGCGAGUUCAAAUCUCGCCCCCUGCA
RNAcentral lists this transfer RNA (86 nucleotides) under Candidatus Aenigmatarchaeota archaeon. RNAcentral's name for it is "tRNA-Leu". It matches the Rfam family "tRNA". Rfam says of the family: Transfer RNA (tRNA) molecules are approximately 80 nucleotides in length. Lineage: Archaea; Nanobdellati; Candidatus Aenigmatarchaeota. The record is from RNAcentral.